Molecule: ribosomal RNA, 469 nt
Filed under: uncultured bacterium
Lineage: Bacteria
Description: partial 16S ribosomal RNA
Rfam family: Bacterial small subunit ribosomal RNA
Source: RNAcentral
GACGAACGCUGGCGGCGUGCUUAACACAUGCAAGUCGAACGAUGAAGCACCAGCUUGCUGGUGUGGAUUAGUGGCGAACGGGUGAGUAACACGUGAGUAACCUGCCCCUCACUCUGGGAUAAGCCUGGGAAACUGGGUCUAAUACUGGAUACGACCGAUCUCCGCAUGGAGUGUUGGUGGAAAGUUUUUGUGGUGGGGGAUGGACUCGCGGCCUAUCAGCUUGUUGGUGGGGUAAUGGCCUACCAAGGCGACGACGGGGAGCCGGCCUGAGAGGGCGACCGGCCACACUGGGACUGAGACACGGCCCAGACUCCUACGGGAGGCAGCAGUGGGGAAUAUUGCACAAUGGGCGAAAGCCUGAUGCAGCGACGCCGCGUGAGGGAUGACGGCCUUCGGGUUGUAAACCUCUUUCACCGGGGACGAAGCUAACGUGACGGUACCUGGAGAAGAAGCACCGGCUAACUACGUG